RNAcentral lists this ribosomal RNA (497 nucleotides) under uncultured bacterium. Its description in RNAcentral is "bacterial SSU rRNA". It matches the Rfam family "Bacterial small subunit ribosomal RNA", at positions 79 to 563 of the family's 1533-position model. The record is from RNAcentral.
ACCGGAAAAAGAGGAGUGGCGAACGGGUGAGUAACACGUGGGUAACCUGCCCAUCAGAAGGGGAUAACACUUGGAAACAGGUGCUAAUACCGUAUAACAAUCAAAACCGCAUGGUUUUGAUUUGAAAGGCGCUUUCGGGUGUCGCUGAUGGAUGGACCCGCGGUGCAUUAGCUAGUUGGUGAGGUAACGGCUCACCAAGGCCACGAUGCAUAGCCGACCUGAGAGGGUGAUCGGCCACAUUGGGACUGAGACACGGCCCAAACUCCUACGGGAGGCAGCAGUAGGGAAUCUUCGGCAAUGGACGAAAGUCUGACCGAGCAACGCCGCGUGAGUGAAGAAGGUUUUCGGAUCGUAAAACUCUGUUGUUAGAGAAGAACGAGGAUGAGAGUAACUGUUCAUCCCUUGACGGUAUCUAACCAGAAAGCCACGGCUAACUACGUGCCAGCAGCCGCGGUAAUACGUAGGUGGCAAGCGUUGUCCGGAUUUAUUGGGCGUAA